UUCAGGAGGACAGGGUUUGCUGAGCUGGUGUGCUUUCGUAGGUGGGAGGAAAGACAACACUUAACAGAUAGUGAGUGCUUCAUACGCAGCGUGUCCUGAAAGGCAUUUCUAAAGCUACCAGUGCCAUCUGUACCUUUCAAGGCAGAUAGUACUAAGCAAGCUGAAUGGACAUCACAGACCUGUUCAUGAGUGAUAUCUGUCCACCAAUAUGGGAAGUACCAGCAAGUAUAGUGGCUCAGCUGCAUCAUGGGAAGACUGAGAGGAGCAAGGUGCAGUAAAAGAGACAACAGGAAAAUGGUCUCUGUGGUCAUGGAUUUCUCUGCUCCAGUGUGGAAACAAUGAAGAGAUGGGACAGAGGGGUGUGAGAAGAGUUGAACAAAAGUGGGGUGUGGGAGAGAAAAGGUGAGAUGAACUAAGAUAGCAAAUUAAAGGAAAAACUGAGUCAGGGAGAAAUGAAAAAUGUUGGGUAAGGAGGUAUGGAGACAAGAGAAGAAGUAACAUGUAAGAUUGAAACAAAAGAAAAAUGCAAAACACAGAUAAGGAAAUAAGGCUUAAACUGGAGCCUUUCGUAAUUUUAUGUUAGAUUAGCACAACAAACCAUGUAGCUCAGCACAUGACAUCAUGUGGCCACAUGCCAUGCAAAGAUGACUGACAGGUUAAUCAACUGACAUCACGAGAAACACACAUGUAAAAAAAAAUCAUAUUUAAACUGACAGGAUAAUUACUUUCACCGUCCCUCAUGCAGGCCCCUUCAGGCAGGA
This 761-nucleotide long non-coding RNA is filed under the name Anser brachyrhynchus (Pink-footed goose). Its description in RNAcentral is "lncRNA (ENSABRG00000015900.1)". Lineage: Eukaryota; Metazoa; Chordata; Aves; Anseriformes; Anatidae. The record is from RNAcentral.